UCGUGCUAGGCGGGGAACUAGCGGUGCCCUGUACUCGCAAUCCGCUUUAGCGAGGCUGAAUCCCCUCCCGAGGCUCCGUCGCUUCGGCUCCUGCGUCCGCGCGGGGUGUUGACGGUCGGGUCCUGUGCAGCGGCGUCCCGCGAACUCCGUCAGGUCCGGAAGGAAGCAGCGGUAAGCGGUCGAUGCCGGGUGCCGCAGGGUCACCUGGCCCGAGCCACCGGCGGGCGCGUGACCGGGACGGCGUGGUCGACGGAGGGUGCACGA
RNAcentral lists this signal recognition particle RNA (264 nucleotides) under Chloroflexota bacterium. Its description in RNAcentral is "signal recognition particle sRNA large type". It matches the Rfam family "Bacterial large signal recognition particle RNA". From Rfam's summary of the family: The signal recognition particle (SRP) is a universally conserved ribonucleoprotein involved in the co-translational targeting of proteins to membranes. Archaeal SRP consists of a 7S RNA and homologues of the eukaryotic SRP19 and SRP54 proteins. Lineage: Bacteria; Bacillati; Chloroflexota. The record is from RNAcentral.